UACGACUUAGCGGCGGACGGGUGAGUAACGCGUGGGUAACCUGCCUUACACUGGGGGAUAACAGUUAGAAAUGACUGCUAAUACCGCAUAAGCGCACAGGGCCGCAUGGUCUGGUGUGAAAAACUCCGGUGGUGUAAGAUGGACCCGCGUCUGAUUAGGUAGUUGGUGGGGUAACGGCCCACCAAGCCGACGAUCAGUAGCCGACCUGAGAGGGUGACCGGCCACAUUGGGACUGAGACACGGCCCAAACUCCUACGGGAGGCAGCAUG
RNAcentral lists this ribosomal RNA (269 nucleotides) under uncultured bacterium. Its description in RNAcentral is "partial 16S ribosomal RNA". It matches the Rfam family "Bacterial small subunit ribosomal RNA", at positions 86 to 353 of the family's 1533-position model. The record is from RNAcentral.